CACUCCCUUAGAGUUUGAUCCUGGCUCAGGAUGAACGCUAGCUACAGGCUUAACACAUGCAAGUCGAGGGGAAACGACAUCGAAAGCUUGCUUUUGAUGGGCGUCGACCGGCGCACGGGUGAGUAACGCGUAUCCAACCUGCCCACCACUUGGGGAUAACCUUGCGAAAGUAAGACUAAUACCCAAUGAUAUCUCUAGAAGACAUCUGAAGGAGAUUAAAGAUUUAUCGGUGAUGGAUGGGGAUGCGUCUGAUUAGCUUGUUGGCGGGGUAACGGCCCACCAAGGCGACGAUCAGUAGGGGUUCUGAGAGGAAGGUCCCCCACAUUGGAACUGAGACACGGUCCAAACUCCUACGGGAGGCAGCAGUGAGGAAUAUUGGUCAAUGGACGAGAGUCUGAACCAGCCAAGUAGCGUGCAGGAUGACGGCCCUAUGGGUUGUAAACUGCUUUUAUAAGGGAAUAAAGUGAGUCUCGUGAGGCUUUUUGCAUGUACCUUAUGAAUAAGGACCGGCUAAUUCCGUGCCAGCAGCCGCGGUAAUACGGAAGGUCCGGGCGUUAUCCGGAUUUAUUGGGUUUAAAGGGAGCGUAGGCCGGAGAUUAAGCGUGUUGUGAAAUGUAGGUGCUCAACAUCUGCACUGCAGCGCGAACUGGUUUCCUUGAGUACGCACAAAGUGGGCGGAAUUCGUGGUGUAGCGGUGAAAUGCUUAGAUAUCACGAAGAACUCCGAUUGCGAAGGCAGCUCACUGGAGCGCAACUGACGCUGAAGCUCGAAAGUGCGGGUAUCGAACAGGAUUAGAUACCCUGGUAGUCCGCACGGUAAACGAUGGAUGCCCGCUGUUGGUCUGAAUAGGUCAGCGGCCAAGCGAAAGCAUUAAGCAUCCCACCUGGGGAGUACGCCGGCAACGGUG
This 907-nucleotide ribosomal RNA is filed under the name uncultured bacterium. Its description in RNAcentral is "bacterial SSU rRNA". It matches the Rfam family "Bacterial small subunit ribosomal RNA", at positions 1 to 896 of the family's 1533-position model. The record is from RNAcentral.